RNAcentral lists this transfer RNA (87 nucleotides) under candidate division WWE3 bacterium RIFCSPHIGHO2_01_FULL_42_13. Its description in RNAcentral is "tRNA-Leu". It matches the Rfam family "tRNA". Rfam says of the family: Transfer RNA (tRNA) molecules are approximately 80 nucleotides in length. Lineage: Bacteria; candidate division WWE3. The record is from RNAcentral.
GCCAGAGUGGAGGAAUUGGCAGACUCGCUGUCUUCAGAAGGCAGUUCGCGCAAGCGAGUGCGGGUUCGAGUCCCGCCUCUGGCACCA